UUAGAGUUUUGAACCUGGCUCAGGACGAACGCUGGCGGCGUGCCUAAUACAUGCAAGUAGAACGCUGAAGAGAGGAGCUUGCUCUUCUUGGAUGAGUUGCGAACGGGUGAGUAACGCGUAGGUAACCUGCCUGGUAGCGGGGGAUAACUAUUGGAAACGAUAGCUAAUACCGCAUAAAAUGGAUUAUCGCAUGAUAAUCCAUUAAAAGGUGCAAAUGCAUCACUACCAGAUGGACCUGCGUUGUAUUAGCUAGUUGGUGGGGUAACGGCUCACCAAGGCGACGAUACAUAGCCGACCUGAGAGGGUGAUCGGCCACACUGGGACUGAGACACGGCCCAGACUCCUACGGGAGGCAGCAGUAGGGAAUCUUCGGCAAUGGACGGAAGUCUGACCGAGCAACGCCGCGUGAGUGAAGAAGGUUUUCGGAUCGUAAAGCUCUGUUGUAAGAGAAGAACGAGUGUGAGAGUGGAAAGUUCACACUGUGACGGUAUCUUACCAGAAAGGACGGCUAACUACUCAGAC
RNAcentral lists this ribosomal RNA (522 nucleotides) under uncultured Streptococcus sp. RNAcentral describes it as "bacterial SSU rRNA". It matches the Rfam family "Bacterial small subunit ribosomal RNA", at positions 1 to 516 of the family's 1533-position model. The record is from RNAcentral. Lineage: Bacteria; Bacillati; Bacillota; Bacilli; Lactobacillales; Streptococcaceae.